GCCUGGCUGCACCUCUCCUAGACCCAUUUAAGAGCUGACUGCCAGGGGGGAAGGAUCUCUUCUGGAAAUCUGCUCCCUGGAGUCUAUUUUGCAAGCUCUGGAUAGGGGCAAUGGUCAAUCAGCAGGCAGUCAGAUCUGCUCUGAACAAGCCACGUGCUGCCCAACAUUCAACCAGAGAGAGCAUCACAGGAGGAAAGUGGUGGUAUUCUUAGGCAAUGAAGAGGAGGGAGGAGGGGACACUGAAGAGGAGUGGGGUUACUGAAAAAUGGCAAGUGGGGACAUGAAACAAAUUUGGAAAAUAUCAGGAUUUCUUAAUUUUGCCUCUGGAAUUACUCAUUUUUCUGUUUCUUUGUAUAGCUGUGAACACAGUGCUGAUCAGAGCUUGUGGAAAUGCAGCUUCUUCAGCUUCAGCCCUAGGUGGGUCACAUGGAAGGAGACCAGGUUAAGUAGGAUCUGCCUUUCCCGAACCCAUGCUGACUUGCCUGAUCACCUGGUUAUCCUGAAUGUGCUGUGUGAUGUGCUCAUGAUGGCCUGCUCCAUGACUUUCCCUGGCAUCGAUGUCAGACUAACUUGACCUGCCAUUCAACAAGUCCCCCUUCCUGUGCUUCCUGUAUAUGUGUCACAUUUGCCAUCCUCCAGUCAACAGACACCACCUCAGAUAGCCAGAACAGUUGGUAAAUCACUGGAAGUAGCUUGGAGAAUGGGGAGAAAGCAUGUCAGUGCCUCACAACUAAGACUGCCACAUAUCAUCCCAUGAUUUAAAAGUAGAUUUCUGAUCAACCAAAAAACUUCCUGAACAUCUGCCUGCUUCCCAUAGAAAACUGUAAAUGUCCUCUGAAAACCCCCAACUAGAAAACUCUUU
Non-coding RNA from Meleagris gallopavo (turkey), 862 nucleotides. The record is from RefSeq and is a predicted model, not a curated record. Lineage: Eukaryota; Metazoa; Chordata; Aves; Galliformes; Phasianidae.